UUCGGAUUGGAGUCUGNAACCCGACUCCACGAAGUUGGAUUCGCUAGUAAUCGCGCAUCAGCCAUGGCGCGGUGAAUACGUUCCCGGGCCUUGUACACACCGCCCGUCAAGCCAUGGGAGCCGGGGGCGCCUGAAGUCCGGGACCGCGAGGACCGGCCUAAGGCGAAACUGGUGACUGGGCUAAGUCGUAACAAGGUAAC
Molecule: ribosomal RNA, 200 nt
Filed under: uncultured bacterium
Lineage: Bacteria
Description: partial 16S ribosomal RNA
Rfam family: Bacterial small subunit ribosomal RNA
Source: RNAcentral